This 518-nucleotide ribosomal RNA is filed under the name Staphylococcus aureus. Its description in RNAcentral is "partial 23S ribosomal RNA". It matches the Rfam family "Bacterial large subunit ribosomal RNA", at positions 1 to 512 of the family's 2925-position model. The record is from RNAcentral. Lineage: Bacteria; Bacillati; Bacillota; Bacilli; Caryophanales; Staphylococcaceae.
GAUUAAGUUAUUAAGGGCGCACGGUGGAUGCCUUGGCACUAGAAGCCGAUGAAGGACGUUACUAACGACGAUAUGCUUUGGGGAGCUGUAAGUAAGCUUUGAUCCAGAGAUUUCCGAAUGGGGAAACCCAGCAUGAGUUAUGUCAUGUUAUCGAUAUGUGAAUACAUAGCAUAUCAGAAGGCACACCCGGAGAACUGAAACAUCUUAGUACCCGGAGGAAGAGAAAGAAAAUUCGAUUCCCUUAGUAGCGGCGAGCGAAACGGGAAGAGCCCAAACCAAAAAGCUUGCUUGUUGGGGUUGUAGGACACUCUAUACGGAGUUACAAAGGACGACAUUAGACGAAUCAUCUGGAAAGAUGAAUCAAAGAAGGUAAUAAUCCUGUAGUCGAAAAUGUUGUCUCUCUUGAGUGGAUCCUGAGUACGACGGAGCACGUGAAAUUCCGUCGGAAUCUGGGAGGACCAUCUCCUAAGGCUAAAUACUCUCUAGUGACCGAUAGUGAACCAGUACCGUGAGGGAAA